CUCAGGUUUAGUUCGUUCUCCUUCAUCUUUUAGAGACUAAGAUGGAGUGUAAGGGAACUCAGGCACAAUUUACCUCUAGCAGCUUAUGCCACUGAAGGAUGUGCUCAUCACAGUCCAAAGGCCAUGGUUUUGGUUUGUUUCCUGCUAUAUCGCUACUGCUGAGCUACGCAACAAGAACAUCACUGCAAGACGAUCCCAGGGGGAUUUAAAACAACAACAACAAAAAUUCUGUCCCUGAUUUUGAAUAUGACUGGUAAGAGAGAGAGCAAGGCCACCAAGUAAGCAGUCACACAGUAGACUAUUGGUUUAAGGAGAAAUCUAAGGCCAGCACUGAGGUUAGUGCUACGUCUGCUCUCUGUACGUUGUGGGUGGAUGCACAGAACAGUCAUAUAUUGCUUAUCUACAUGUGAGCCUCUGUAUUGUGUGCUUGUGAGUACCUGAGGGAGGAUAUUUGGUUUCUUGCUGCUGAGGUUGGUAGGCUCCAGUUCAUGCUCAGUUGUUCUCACCAUGCACAAACUGGGGGCUUCACAACAGAAAUGCUUAAUUGCAGCUGGCAUUUUGGACACUCUCAGUGCCUGUGCCAGUGGGCACUUGGCUGAAGAGAGACAUCCCUUCUGACACGAGCAACGUGAAAACUGCAGAGGAGACUGAAAUGCUGAACUGCUGGUUCAACAAUUAAGAACCUAAAAAAAAAAUCAAGCACUCCUAAACAGUUCAGUUCUAACUGCUAAAACACAAUCAAGAAGAAGAUAGGUUUCCAACUCUGUGCACAUAGGUCUUCUCAUUUUCUCUUCCCCUGCCCACUGUGCUGUCAGUGUGACAGUGAUGCACUCUGCUCUAAGAGGGCAGUCACCAGCAGCUGCCCGAGAUGCCAUCGUUAAUUAAAGUCUUGGUUCUCAAGUGCUGCUCAGAUUCAGCAAAAGGUGAGAAACGCCACCUCUGAGAGCCAUGAAAACAGAACUAUCUCUCAACCAAUAUCACUGAUGCUGAGCACUUCCAGGCAAAUAGCACAAAUGCUUGGUAUACCCAAAUCAAACUCAAAUACGACUUGAAGGAACAAAACUCCACCAUCACCAAAAGCUCUUAAUUCAACUUAGAAGCUACAUGAAGAGUGUAAGAAGGAGCUCUUCUUGCACUAGAUAAUGUUUUAGUACCCUUUUGAAGAAGAAAAUGAAUGGUGAGGUAUUAAUCUGAUCUGUUUUGUUAAGCUUAACACUGUAUCAGUAAUUUGCCCAUUUUGGACCAUAGGAAGCAUCUAGGCCUCUGGUUAAAGAGCAAACAGGAUACACAUCUACCCUUGACUUUCUGUAUCAGCACACUCGGAGCCAGGUGUGAAGUCCACACUUGCUUUUUCUUUCAAGAGCCAAGAAAUCCAAUAGAAUAGUUGGAGCAGGUUUCUGCUUCAGCAAGGACCCAAGCUUGUUUUGGGUCAAACAAGGAGUAGCAUUAAUCCUCCACUGAAUUGCAGCCCCCUUCAGGACAGAAACUGGCAGCAGUUUAAUGUGAUGGAGGAAUGUUACCCAUGAACUGAGGACAAAGCAAGGAAUGAUGUCUCCAUGGAAAAUGCAAUGAGACAUUAAUGGAGAGAAAAUAAUUACAGCUGGAAUUUGGAGGGGAUGUCAGGUUUAGCCCCUCUGUACUUGCAAAUAAUGCUGCAGGAUGUUUAGAAACCCUGCUGCUCACGUCACUACCUGCAGUGCUGCAUUGACUUGGGAGCUCUUAUCGUUUAUUGCUAUGCAAUUCUUUUUAAAAUGUAUGGAAUCUGACAAGAUAAUAUCUUGAGGUGGCACUCAAGCUUCAACUGCACUUCACUAAAUCUCAAAGAAUCUAUGCAUCGUUACCUUUCUGCCCUUUUCUUUUUCUCAUGUUUGUUGCACAGUCAAAGGAAACAGCUUUUUAUGUGAAUGAUGAUUAAUAAGCAGCCCUGCUGAAGGGUGACAGAGCUGGUGCUAAGAACAGGCUCCUUUGAUAGACAGUCUAAAAUGUGUUCUAACAUGUGAAAAUGAUAGGCUGUCAAGUCAUCAUUCAGGUGUACACUGAGAUAAUAACAUGCAUUUGAGAAAAAUGAUAAGGUAAAAUACACAUUUCUACAGUAUGAAGAUAAAUAGUGAAAUACAUACUUGCAUGCCUCUAUGUAAAGUAAGGAGAAAAAAAAAUCAAUUUAGAGUGGAAUUGUGAGUAGUCUGGACAUCUCUAUUGCCUUGUGCUUGAAAUAUCAUCUCAACGGAAUGUGUCGUGCUCUAUUUGUGCUUGAAUUAAAAAGCAUUUGCAGUGGCCAUGCUAUCAAAUCUUCCCACAUGGCUGAAGGCAUCUCAGGACAGGACUUUGUUUAAAGGUUAUGGCCAUAGUUUCAGUAUGUGAGUUUCUUGGCAGAAAUAGAAAUAGGAUCUUUCUGGAAAAUAGCACAAUUAACAGGAAGCGUCUAAUGAAAACAAAGCAGUAGAAUGUCUGGUUUGCUUGAUAUCAACAAGAAAACAUCACCUUUCUUAUUUAGGAAGAAACUUGACAAGUAGCAGCUGAAGUUGUGGACUAGUGAUAGUUUUUUGCUAUCUUUUUUGGAAGUGUACUGCAGCCUAGAAUCCCCUUCCCUGAUUGCUACUUUGACCUCUUAAGAACAACGUGCCCAAUCAUUUGAAGUUUAACCUUAGAAACAUGCAGUGAAUAACAGGCAUUUUCCAAUUCCUGUUCAUGUUGCCAUUUUCAAACAUCUGAUAAGUGUCAAGCCCUCUCCCUUUAUAAAACGUUUUCCCUUUUGUAUUAUGGAAAAACAAAUCAGCAAUGCCCAGAAUACCAGUGUGAACCAUGAGGGCAACUUUCCUCACCUGAGCAGAUUGCCCUGGGGAGACAGGGUAGAUACCCUUCGUGGAGCUGUUCCAAGCUCAAGCUCUUCAAGCCCAGCAUCAAAGCAACAACCCUCUGGCUCAGAGGUGAGAAAAUGAUGCCCCGAGGCACAGCUUCUGUGUCAGGCAGAUAGCAAGCAAUGGGCUCGUAAAACAAUAUUUGAAGACAGGUAAAAAAACAUGAGGGAAAGGGAAGAGUUUCUUAUUAGCUGCAAAGUAAGGCUUUUCGAUCACAAUCUAUGACAAAGAACAGCACUAUUUGGACAGUAAAUCACUGUGGCCCACUGAGGAACCUGUGCUGAUAACAGCCUGACAGGCCAGGGAAGAGGUUUAGGGCUUGCAGGGAAAAUCUUUCAUUCCAAACACACACAGCAGACCAGCAGAGGCAGGAGGAGCAGGUACAGGCAGGCAGUUCUGAACAGGAGGGUGAAAUGCUCUUUCAACUGAGAGGAGAGGAAAGCCCCUCUCUGAUGCUUUUAGCUGGGAAUAAAGAGGGCUGUCUUAAGAUUAAGGUUUUUCGACUUAUAUCCUCUUUCCAUCAGUUCCUGGGUCUAGUGACACAACCCAAAAUAAAAUUGAGUGUGCCCAGAGAUUCCCCUUCAUGCUCUAGGCAGGCAGGUGGCAGGGGAUGGGUGACCCGGCGUGUUGUACAUUUCCUGUAAAAUUUAAAAAUGUUUUUGGACCUGUUUACUUUGUAGUGUGUGAAUAUCACAUUCUUUCCCUUCCUUUUCCCUUCUUACUCUUCCCCUUGUUCACUUAGUUUUGUCCCCACAGCCACAGGGAGUUUAAUAUUGUGUAAUUUGCAUUGGCAAGAAGGAG
Molecule: long non-coding RNA, 3659 nt
Organism: Hirundo rustica (Barn swallow)
Lineage: Eukaryota; Metazoa; Chordata; Aves; Passeriformes; Hirundinidae
Exons: 3
Source: RefSeq, a predicted model, not a curated record